Arvicola amphibius (Eurasian water vole) is the source of this 843-nucleotide long non-coding RNA. RefSeq lists it as uncharacterized. The record is from RefSeq and is a predicted model, not a curated record. The transcript is spliced from 2 exons. Lineage: Eukaryota; Metazoa; Chordata; Mammalia; Rodentia; Cricetidae.
UCUAGUGACCACUUUGGGCCUCACGUCCCUGUCUUUGAUGAUGAUAAGGCAUGAAUUCUAUUUCCUGUUGGUUGGGGACUUUACAAGAGGGAAGUCACGAAUGCUGGUCCAAAGCAGAGGCUCAAGUUAGCGGGUGAAGACAUUUGCCAUUCUGGAUUCAGAGAAGAAUGGGACUAGAGAUAUGCAAUGAAGCCCCUCCUCAUAACGGGGCAGCAUCUGCAUCAACGGUGUACAUGUGAAGCUUCAGGCUGGGCCUCUCUGUGUUUGGAACCUUCUCUAUCUCCAGGAGCCCCUCCACAGAAAAACUCACUUUCUACUUCACCACAAGCAUGUGUCAAAACGUUCAGAACCACAGCUUCACUCUUUCUUCUCUUCCCCCAGUGAAGGGAAAAAGCUGAAUACAUUCAACAACAGAACAAGUUUCAAGAUUCUGCACCUAAGUAAAUAUUUGGAGGGAGAGGCUGACAACCUCUACUUUCCCAAGAUGCCCUUGGUCUGCAUGAGGGUGGUGUUGAGAAUGAGUCACUCGGCGCCUUGGACAGAAAAGCAGUACCGCCUCCUUCAAGGGCAGGGAAGGGAGAGCAUCAGCCGUAAAUUUUGAGUGUUUACCCUCCCUCAAAUUCUGGGAAAGCACGAAGAAAUGGGGUGUUGAGGGUGUCUGGUGAUAAAUUACGGUGACGACCGUCAUACAGUAAGCCCCAAUGUCUAAUAGUGGCUUAGAGAACCUCAGUGCCAUGUGUUCUCAGCUUGGGUUUUAGACUCAUUUCUGAGACAACAACAAAAUAAAUCAAACUCCAUAUUCUCUUCCACACCAGGUGGGUAUUAAAAGCACCCUUAACUGUC